GACGAACGCUGGCGGCGUGCUUAACACAUGCAAGUCGAGCGAUGAAGUUUCCUUCGGGAAACGGAUUAGCGGCGGACGGGUGAGUAACACGUGGGUAACCUGCCUCAUAGAGUGGAAUAGCCUUCCGAAAGGAAGAUUAAUACCGCAUAACGUUGAAAGAUGGCAUCAUCAUUCAACCAAAGGAGCAAUCCGCUAUGAGAUGGACCCGCGGCGCAUUAGCUAGUUGGUGGGUAACGGCCUACCAAGGCGACGAUGCGUAGCCGACCUGAGAGGUGAUCGGCCACAUUGGGACUGAGACACGGCCCAGACUCCUACGGGAGGCCAG
RNAcentral lists this ribosomal RNA (325 nucleotides) under uncultured Bacillota bacterium. RNAcentral describes it as "bacterial SSU rRNA". It matches the Rfam family "Bacterial small subunit ribosomal RNA", at positions 28 to 351 of the family's 1533-position model. The record is from RNAcentral. Lineage: Bacteria; Bacillati; Bacillota.